GUAGGUGAACCUGCGGAAGGAUCAUUACCACAUCCAAAAACUAUCCACCCACAUGUGUGCACUGUUUUUCUUUGCCAGCCGGUUGCCGACUUGCCUUGCGCUCUUUUUUUUCUUAAAACAAAAAAAAGAGCGCGCAGGAAAAAGAAGCGCCGCUGGCAAGGGAACAUGUUUCAAAACAACCACUUGUAAAACACUCUUUUACAACCAAUUCAAACCAAACAAAAACGAAACUUGAGAGACAACUUUUAACGAUGGAUCUCUUGGCUCGU
Molecule: unclassified non-coding RNA, 269 nt
Filed under: rhizosphere metagenome
Description: partial ribosomal RNA internal transcribed spacer region
Source: RNAcentral